RNAcentral lists this long non-coding RNA (3143 nucleotides) under Pelobates cultripes (western spadefoot toad). The record is from RNAcentral. Lineage: Eukaryota; Metazoa; Chordata; Amphibia; Anura; Pelobatidae.
UAGUAAUACAUCAAAAUAUUUAUUACAAGUAGUUCUUUAAAACACAUUAAAGUGUAUAUAAAGAUAGAUAUAGUUACACUAAAUUACAUGUCAACUUUAUGUCAAUUUGCACAUUUUCAUUCAGUUAACAGGGGAUGCUUACAAGUUAUCACAAUACCAAUACAUCAUUUGUACAUUGCUACUGUUAGUUAUUAUUUAUAUUGUUAGCAUGAGAAAGGCUUUGCUAUAACACGAGGUGCUGAAAUGUAAGCAAACUUUGAAUUGAUUUUAGAAUGUCUCACAUUCAGAGUAAAAUAUAUUUUAUUCCUAAAUUAAUAUAUAGAUGCCCCUAUGACUAUGACAUUUGGAACAAUUAAAACAUCACACAAUUACUCUCCUGUGUGAGUUCUCUGAUGACUAACAAGGUGUACAUGCAGGCCACAUUCAGAAAAAGGUUUCUCUCCUGUUUGAAUUAUUUGAUGAAUAACAAGCUCUCCUUUACUGAUAACACAUUUUCCACAUUCAGAAUAUGUGUGAGUUCUCUGAUGUGUUUCAAGACUUGCUUUACCGACUUGACAUUUUCCAUUCCCACAUAGCAACCAAGCAACAUGGUGGGAAGUAGCAGAAUUAAAAGGUAAAAGAGGCCCUUUAAGAAGGCGUGAAAAAUAGGUUUGUGAAAUAACAGCUACUUUUGGAUGCCGUAGUCUGAGGAGGUGGGUUUUGAGGGACUUGAUUUUCCAGAAUUUUCUUCAUAUGGCGUUGGCUGCCACACUUAGCUUUGCAUCCUGAGUGAAACUUAUGAAUGAUGUUGUUUGGGUCACAGACAGUAAGAGAGAGUCUGGGAUUAGAUAAAGCAAUAAACUGUGUGUGAAAAGGCAUGCAGAAAUUAAGUGAGAAAAUUAAACCAAUCAAUGGGAGAGAUUAGUUAGGUGAAAUUGAUAAAUGGGGAACAUCAAAUAACCAGACAAUAUGUGCAAUAACUCUCACACUAACAAAAAUUAAACAAACAUUAAAGAAUUCAAGAGUUGUGCAUUGAAGGCACAGAAGUUUUCAAAUUUAACAUUAAUAUCAAAGGGGAGGAAAGUAAAGAGGGGCUCUGUAGAGUUAACACAUUUGCAAUACCAAUGCAUCAUUUAUAAAUUACUACUAUCACUGGUAUUUCUUUCUUGUGUCAGCAAUAAAGCAAUUCACAGUAUUAGUUGUUUAAUUCUGAUGCUAAUUCAUAAACACAUUAUAAAAACUCUUCUGUGUGAGUUAUCUGAUGAUUAACAAACUCUGGUUUACUAAUAAAACUAUUUCUCCAUUCUGUACAUGAGAAAGGUUUCUCAUCUGUGUGACUUCUCUGGUGUGCAACUAGAGCUGAGUGCUGGCUAAAGCAUUUUCCACAGUCAGAACAUGACGAAGGUUUCUCUCUUGUGUGAGUUCUCUGGUGUGCAACUAGAGAUGCCUUAAUGGUAAAACAUUUCCCACAUUCAGCACAUGAGAAAGGUUUCUCUCCUGUGUGACUUCUCUGGUGUGCAACUAGAGACGUUCUAAGGCCAAAACAUUUCCCACAUUCAGCACAUGAGAAAGGUUUCUCUCCUGUGUGAGUUAUCUGAUGUUUAUUAAGAUCUGAGUGCUGGCUAAAACAUUUCCCACAUGCAGAACAUGUGAAAGGUUUCUCUCCUGUGUGAGAUCUCUGGUGUACAACUAGAGCCGAGUUAUGGCUAAACCAUUUCCCACAUGCAGAACACGAGAAAGGUUUUUCUCCUGAGUGAGCACUCUGAUGUGUACUAAGACCUGAGUACUGGCUAAAACAUUUUCCACAUUCAGAACAUGAGAAAGGUUUCUCUCCUGUGUGAGUUCGCUGGUGUGCAACUAGAGAUGCCUUAAUGGUAAAACAUUUCCCACAUUCAGCACAUGAGAAAGGUUUCUCUCCUGUGUGACUUCUCUGGUGUGCAACUAGAGACGUUCUAAAGCCAAAACAUUUCCCACAUUCAGCACAUGAGAAAGGUUUCUCUCCUGUGUGAGUUCGCUGGUGUGCAACUAGAGAUGCCUUAAUGGUAAAACAUUUUCCACAUUCAGAACAUGAGAAAGGUUUCUCUCCUGUGUGACUUCUCUGGUGUGCAACUAGAGACAUUCUAAAGCCAAAACAUUUCCCACAUUCAGCACAUGAGAAAGGUUUCUCUCCUGUGUGAGUUAUCUGAUGUUUAACAAGAUAGGAGUGCUGGCUAAAACAUUUCCCACAUGCAGAACAUGUGAAAGGUUUCUCUCCUGUGUGAGUUCGCUGGUGUGAAACUAGAGAUGGCUUACGGGUAAAACAUUUCCCACAUUCAGAACAUGUGAAAGGUUUCUCUCCUGUGUGUAUUCUCUCAUGGGCUCUUAGAUUUGAGGACAGGCGAAACCAUUUCCCACAUUCAGAACAUGAGAAAGGUUUCUCUCCUGUGUGUAUUCUCUCAUGGGCUCUUAGAUUUGAGGACAGACUAAAACAUUUUCCACAUUCAAAACAUGAGAAAGGUUUCUCUCCUGUGUGGGAUCUCUGGUGUACAACAAGGUGUGCAUGGCUGUUUAAACAUUUUCCACAUUCAGUACAUGAGAAAGGUUUCUCUCCUGUAUGAUUUUGCUGGUGUGCAACUAGAGAUGACUUAAGGGUAAACCAUUUCCCACAUUCAGAACAUGAGAAAGGUUUCUCUCCUGUGUGAGUUAUCUGAUGUUUAUUAAGAUCUGAGUGCUGGCUAAAACAUUUCCCACAUGCAGAACAUGUGAAAGGUUUCUCUCCUGUGUGAGUUCGCUGGUGUGAAACUAGAUAUGGCUUAAGGGUAAAACAUUUCCCACAUUCAGAACAUGAGAAAGGUUUCUCUCCUGUGUGAGUUCUCUGGUGUGCAACUAGAGAUGCCUUAAGGGUAAAACAUUUCCCACAUUCAGAACAUGAGAAAGGUUUCUCUCCUGUGUGACUUCUCUGAUGUGUUACAAUUUGUGACUGCCAGCGGAAACAUUUUCCACAUUCAGAACACGAAAAAGGUUUUGGGUUUAUGUUUACUAUCUCCUUUGUAGACAUAUAGGAUUCUGAGAGAUUGCUUGAGUAUGGAGAGUUGGAAUCCUUGGUCUUUUUAUUAAAAGAUUUCUUCAUAAUCUUUUCUGUUGGUAUCCUGUCCUUUAUAAAAACUUCUGCUGUUGGAAAUAUC